Enterococcus cecorum is the source of this 98-nucleotide regulatory RNA element. It matches the Rfam family "Purine riboswitch aptamer". Rfam says of the family: Riboswitches are metabolite binding domains within certain messenger RNAs that serve as precision sensors for their corresponding targets. Allosteric rearrangement of mRNA structure is mediated by ligand binding, and this results in modulation of gene expression. NCBI's taxonomy places the organism in Bacteria, Bacillati, Bacillota, Bacilli, Lactobacillales, Enterococcaceae. The record is from Rfam.
AGUUUUUCAUAAUUUAACGCUUAUAUAAAGUUGUAAUAAGGACAACAGUUUCUACCCAAUGCCGUAAAUAUUGGACUAUAAGCAAAUAAACGUUUGUU